AUUGAACGCUGGCGGCACGCCUAACACAUGCAAGUCGAGCGGCAGCAUGCUUAGUAGCAAUACUAAGUGAUGGCGAGCGGCGGACGGGUGAGGAACACGUAGGAACCUGCCCAAGAGAGGGGGACAACCAAUGGAAACGUUGGCCAAUACCGCAUAAUCUCUUAGGAGAAAAGUUGCCCGUAAGGGUAGCGCUUUUGGAGGGGCCUGCGUCCGAUUAGCUAGUUGGUGAGGUAAUGGCUCACCAAGGCUGUGAUCGGUAACUGGUCUGAGCGGACGACCAGUCACACUGGGACUGAGACACGGCCCAGACUCCUACGGGAGGCAGCAGUGGGGAAUCUUGGACAAUGGGGGCAACCCUGAUCCAGCGAUGCCGCGUGGGUGAAGAAGGCCUUCGGGUUGUAAAGCCCUUUAGGCUGGGACGAAGGGUAUGGGACGAAUAAUCCUGUACUUUGACGGUACCAGCAGAAUAAGCACCGGCAAACUCUGUGCCAGCCGCCGCCGUAA
This 504-nucleotide ribosomal RNA is filed under the name uncultured bacterium. RNAcentral describes it as "partial 16S ribosomal RNA". It matches the Rfam family "Bacterial small subunit ribosomal RNA", at positions 30 to 523 of the family's 1533-position model. The record is from RNAcentral.